Molecule: ribosomal RNA, 263 nt
Filed under: uncultured bacterium
Lineage: Bacteria
Description: partial 16S ribosomal RNA
Rfam family: Bacterial small subunit ribosomal RNA
Source: RNAcentral
ACCUACGGGAGGCAGCAGUAGGGAAUCUUCCACAAUGGACGAAAGUCUGAUGGAGCAACGCCGCGUGAGUGAAGAAGGGUUUCGGCUCGUAAAGCUCUGUUGGUAGUGAAGAAAGAUAGAGGUAGUAACUGGCCUUUAUUUGACGGUAAUUACUUAGAAAGUCACGGCUAACUACGUGCCAGCAGCCGCGGUAAUACGUAGGUGACAAGCGUUGUCCGGGUUUAAUGGGUGUAAAGGGCGCGUAGGCGGGGUAGCAAGUCAGU